GACGAACGCUGGCGGCGUGCUUAACACAUGCGAGUCGAACGGAAAGGCCCUGCUUGCAGGGUACUCGAGUGGCGAACGGGUGAGUAACACGUGGGUGAUCUGCCCUGCACUUCGGGAUAAGCCUGGGAAACUGGGUCUAAUACCGGAUAGGAGCCAUUUUUAGUGUGAUGGUUGGAAAGUUUUUUCGGUGUAGGAUGAGCUCGCGGCCUAUCAGCUUGUUGGUGGGGUAAUGGCCUACCAAGGCGGCGACGGGUAGCCGGCCUGAGGGGGUGGACGGCCACAUUGGGACUGAGGUACGGCCCAGACUCCUACGGGAGGCAGCAGUGGGGAAUAUUGCACAAUGGGCGCAAGCCUGAUGCAGCGACGCCGCGUGGGGGAUGACGGCCUUCGGGUUGUAAACUCCUUUCGCUAGGGACGAAGCUUUUUGUGACGGUACCUAGAUAAGAAGCACCGGCUAACUACGUG
RNAcentral lists this ribosomal RNA (465 nucleotides) under uncultured bacterium. Its description in RNAcentral is "partial 16S ribosomal RNA". It matches the Rfam family "Bacterial small subunit ribosomal RNA", at positions 28 to 507 of the family's 1533-position model. The record is from RNAcentral.